AUGGCGCCGUCGUUCUGGGGGAGGGAGGCGAGGCUGAGCGACGGGGGCGGCGGGACGCCGGUGGUGGUCAAGAUGGAGAACCCCAACUGGUCGAUCUCCGAGAUGGAGCAGGAGCCGGUGCCGGGGUCGCCGGCGGGGCUGGCGGCCGGCAAGGCCGGGCGCGGCAAGAACGCGCGCCAGAUCACCUGGGUGCUGCUCCUCAAGGCGCACCGCGCGGCGGGGCGCCUCACGGGCGCGGCCUCCGCGGCGCUCGCCGUCGCCGCCGCCGCGCGCCGGCGGGUGGCGGCGGGCCGGACGGACGGCGACGCCGCGCCCGGGGAGAGCACGGCCCUGCGCGCGCGCUUCUACGGCUGCCUCAGGGUCUUCGUCGUGCUCUCCAUGCUGCUGCUCGCCGUCGAGGUGGCCGCCUACCUCCAGGGCUGGCACCUCCAGAUGCCCCAGAUGCCCGAGAUGCCGGGCCAGCUCGCGAUGGACGGCCUCCUCGCCGUCGACGGGCUCGCCGCCGCCGCCUACGCCGGCUGGAUGCGCGUCCGCCUCCAGUACAUCGCGCCGCCGCUGCAGUUCCUCACCAACUCCUGCGUCGUGCUCUUCAUGAUCCAGAGCGUCGACCGCCUCGUCCUCUGCCUCGGCUGCCUCUGGAUCAAGCUCCGGGGCAUCAAGCCCGUGCCCAUCGCCGCCGACAAGGACGACGUCGAGGCCGGCGACGAGGACUUCCCCAUGGUCCUCGUGCAGAUGCCCAUGUGCAACGAGCGAGAGGUCUACCAGCAAUCCAUUGGCGCAAUUUGCGCUCUCGAUUGGCCAAGGUCAAACUUCUUGGUGCAGGUGCUGGACGACUCCGAUGAUGCUACCACCUCGGCGCUCAUCAAGGAGGAGGUUGAGAAAUGGCAGCGGGAGGGCGUGCGGAUAGUGUACAGGCACCGGGUGAUCAGGGACGGAUACAAGGCUGGAAACCUCAAAUCAGCAAUGAACUGCAGUUAUGUGAAAGACUAUGAAUAUGUUGUCAUCUUCGAUGCCGAUUUCCAGCCACAGGCGGAUUUCCUCAAGCGCGCCAUGCCCCAUUUCAAGGGGAAGGACGAUGUUGGGUUGGUUCAGGCGAGAUGGUCGUUCGUGAACAACGAUGAGAACCUGUUGACCAGAUUACAGAACAUAAACCUGUGCUUCCACUUCGAGGUGGAGCAGCAGGUGAAUGGAGCGUUUCUCAACUUCUUCGGGUUCAAUGGGACUGCCGGAGUGUGGAGAAUCAAGGCUCUUGAGGACUCCGGUGGCUGGAUGGAGAGGACAACGGUGGAGGACAUGGACAUUGCCGUCCGGGCACAUCUCAAGGGAUGGAAGUUCCUCUACCUGAAUGAUGUUGAGUGCCAAUGCGAGUUGCCAGAAUCAUAUGAGGCAUACAGAAAGCAGCAGCACAGGUGGCACUCAGGCCCCAUGCAGCUGUUUAGACUCUGCUUUGUGGACAUUAUAAAAUCCAAGAUUGGAUUCUGGAAGAAGUGCAACCUGAUAUUCCUAUUCUUCCUCCUCCGCAAGCUCAUCCUGCCCUUCUACUCAUUCACCCUCUUCUGCGUCAUCCUCCCCAUGACAAUGUUCGUCCCCGAGGCCGAGCUUCCCGCAUGGGUGGUAUGCUACAUUCCAGCGACAAUGUCCAUCAUGAGCAUCCUGCCAUCCCCAAAGUCCUUCCCGUUCAUCGUCCCGUACCUCCUCUUCGAGAACACCAUGUCGGUGACCAAGUUCAACGCCAUGAUCUCCGGCCUGUUCCAGCUCGGGAGCGCCUACGAGUGGGUGGUGACCAAGAAGUCGGGCCGCUCCUCCGAGGGCGACCUCGUGGCGCUCGUCGAGAAGCACACCGCACAGCAGCAGCAGAGGGUCGGGUCGGCGCCGGACCUCGCCGGGCUGGCGGCCAAGGACUCGUCGCUCCCCAAAAAGGACGCCCCCAAGAAGAAGCAGAAGCACAACAGGAUCUACCGGAAGGAGCUGGCGCUGUCGUUCCUCCUGCUGACGGCGGCGGCUCGCAGCGUGCUGUCGGCGCAGGGCAUCCACUUCUACUUCCUCCUGUUCCAGGGCGUCUCCUUCCUCGUGAUGGGCCUCGACCUGAUCGGCGAGCAAGUGGAGUGA
RNAcentral lists this ribosomal RNA (2109 nucleotides) under Triticum aestivum (bread wheat). RNAcentral describes it as "partial small subunit ribosomal RNA". Lineage: Eukaryota; Viridiplantae; Streptophyta; Magnoliopsida; Poales; Poaceae. The record is from RNAcentral.